Molecule: ribosomal RNA, 305 nt
Filed under: uncultured bacterium
Lineage: Bacteria
Description: bacterial SSU rRNA
Rfam family: Bacterial small subunit ribosomal RNA
Source: RNAcentral
UUUGGCCUCGGGACGCAGCAGUGGGGGAUAUUGCACAAUGGGGGAAACCCUGAUGCAGCAACGCCGCGUGAGUGAAGAAGUAUUUCGGUAUGUAAAGCUCUAUCAGCAGGGAAGAAAAAAGACGGUACCUGACUAAGAAGCCCCGGCUAACUACGUGCCAGCAGCCGCGGUAAUACGUAGGGGGCAAGCGUUAUCCGGAUUUACUGGGUGUAAAGGGAGCGUAGACGGCAUAGCAAGUCUGAAGUGAAAGCCCGUGGCUCAACCGCGGAACUGCUUUGGAAACUGUUAAGCUGCAGUACUGGAGG